CCUACGGGUGGCUGCAGUGAGGAAUAUUGGUCAAUGGACGGAAGUCUGAACCAGCCAUGCCGCGUGCAGGAAGACGGCUCUAUGAGUUGUAAACUGCAUUUGUACAAGGGGAAACCUGAAUACGUGUAUGCAGCUGAAAGUACUGUACGAAUAAGGAUCGGCUAACUCCGUGCCAGCAGCCGGGGUAAUACGGAGGAUCCACGCGUUAUCCGGAUUUAGUGGGUUUAAAGGGUGCGUAGGCGGUUUGAUAAGUUAGAGGUGAAAUGUCCGCGCUUACCUCUGGAACUGCCUCUCAUACUGUUGAUCUAUAGCGUAGCUGCGGUCGGCGGAAUG
RNAcentral lists this ribosomal RNA (333 nucleotides) under uncultured bacterium. RNAcentral's name for it is "partial 16S ribosomal RNA". It matches the Rfam family "Bacterial small subunit ribosomal RNA", at positions 338 to 668 of the family's 1533-position model. The record is from RNAcentral.